AAAGAGCAGGAGGCACUAGAGGAGCUAGAUCCAGCCAUAUCCCAAGCAAAAUGGCGCAAGAAAAUGAUUUCAAUCUUGCCUAAGUUUUUUGACAUGAUUUACUUCUUAUUUCACUCAAUUAACCGAUCUGUGAUCACUAAAGAAGAGCUUACACACAAAGUGAUUUCAAGCCAUCUAGCUAUUGCUGAUAAAAGAGAAUUUGAAGAGCUACUACGGUUAUUGCAAGAAAUAGCUCCUGAAUGGAUCCAUGAAAAGCUGUCAUCUAGUGGGGA
Molecule: unclassified non-coding RNA, 272 nt
Filed under: Hevea brasiliensis (rubber tree)
Lineage: Eukaryota; Viridiplantae; Streptophyta; Magnoliopsida; Malpighiales; Euphorbiaceae
Source: RNAcentral